AAAAUGAAAACAACACUCAACAUGAAAAACACCCUAACUCUACAGAGCAAUGCGAUUAGUUUCAUUUUGCAGAAUAGAAUAAACUCAUUGUAGCUAUGUUUUGCAGCAUUUCUUUUAUGAUCGCUUAUCGUUUUUGACGCUACGGCAAAUAAACAACAAACUGUUUUCAUUAGCCAGAAAUCGUUUGAUAAUAAAUGGUUUAAUAAUAAUCUUAUCUUUCUCGUUACAUUAAAUUGAGGAAAAGUUAGAUGAGGUCGAGUGUUCAGUAUAUGUGUUUGGCUAGUUGCACCCAGUGGAACGUUGAGAGCACUUUGCUCUCGUUUUUCAGCUUUACGGUUCUAGAUUGUCUGUAUGAAUGACAUGAUGUUAUAAUAACCAGAUUUGCUAUAUUUGGAGAACACGAAGUGUGUCAUAAUGUUAACUUACAUUGCUCCGGAGUGAAGUCUUGAGAGCGGACAAAGCAACCUAAAUUAAAAGUAUUUGAUGGAGCCUUUUGAUCCUUCUUCUCCUCAUACCAGUAAAAUAAUUAAGAUUGGCUCUUACUUAUUAUAUACUUACUUACUUAGCUAGGGGCGGCCCGAUGGUGCAUGUGAUAAACGGCGCCAGUCCACACGGCCGGACCGGGUUCAAAUCCCAUCCGGACCGUUCCCCCGUAGCAAGGACUGACUAUUCGGCUACGUGGUAAAAAUAAGUCUAGUAAGCCAGAAAUGGCCGGCGUGACCUGUAAAGUCGUUAAAAGCCAAGAAGAAAGAGACUUACUGAGCUCUUACACUUCUCGCGGUCCAGCGUCUGUCAAUCCGUUAUCCCGUUCCUUCUGGCGAACGCGUUAACGCCAUCGCUCAAUCUCAGUUUGGGUCUACCAGGCUUCCUCUGUCCAUAUGACGUACCUAAAAGGACAUCAGGGGUUGGGCCGUCCGAUGCCAUUUACAUGUAGCACUGGCACAGGAAAUCAUAAGGAAAAAUAAAUUAAUGAGAUUACAGAUACUCUUGGUUCAGAGAUUUAUUAAUAAUGCUUCCAAAGAAACGAUUGUUUAUUUAUUGUGUGUAUUUAACCAUCUCUAAACUAACUACUGUGUCAUAAAAGUGGAAAUGAUUCCAGUGUUACGCACUGCGAAAUAUACAUCCAUUGCAAAUAUGGUUAUGUUGGGUUGCACUAUCAAUUGAAAUUGCAGUUUGUAUUCCCCUGCGGGAAUGUUCUUCGGUGCGUGUCGUUCUUGAAAGUACCAAGACAGAUUGUAGGUUCGAUUCUGCAAAAAGGAAAUAAGUGUCAAUUGGUGUACAAAUUUACAUUUUUUUGUAAUUCUCACCCCUGUUGGACAAGGAACCAACAACUCUGGAACCGUUUCUUCUACUAUAUCAUACACAUGCUUUUGUACACCAAAUUGUGGCGGAUGUCGAAUUAACUCACACGCGUCUUCUCCUAUAGUGAUUAGGAAUGGUUGAUAUGUGCUAAAUUUAUAGAACAUUCCAACUUUCACUAUAAUUUUGUCGUAUAGUUUAGGAACAUUUAUAGACACAUGAACCAUUGUAGGUGCGUUUCUUCGCGGGAUACUUUUACAGGAGUAAAGUGUCGAUUCUUUGUACGGCAUAUCAAUGCAGAUAUAUUUUUUAACUUUAAAAGCAUAUGAAGAAGCAGCGGUGCAGCUUGUUGGUACAUGUUUUAAAAAAAUAGUUAAAACAAAUCCAAUUAUCAAGUAUCCUGUUAGCCUGCGCAGAAAUUGGAACGUUCCCAUUUCGCUUGAUAGAAUAAACUGCACCAUGAACCAUGAACGUUGCUCUUUUAGAGGUGUACUAAUCGGUUCUUAAAAUCAAACAAAUAAAGUAUGAUAUUUGUGCAUUAGUAUCAAUCUUUGGAAAUGGGUUUAUAAUGAUCUCUUCAAAUGUUAGAAAUAAAUUAUCAGUUUGUCCUCUGCUAAUGGUAUUCUGUCCUAUGCGUAAGAAGAAACGGAAGAAUCGUUUUGUCUCAAGUGCGUUUGUUAGCUUUUGUCAAGUUUUAAAUUUUUUGCACUAGAUGUAAAAUAAAAUCAAUUAGAUCAGAUAGGCUAAUCGCCUAUCACUUAGAGAGAGUAUAAGAGACGUGUUUAAUGGCAAAUAUACUACGCGUUCCGGAGCUCAAAAGUGUAUAAAAUCCCAACCAUUUUUACAAUCCAAGCAUUAACUUUCACCACUCCACCACUGUCAGAUGUCGACCGGAUUCAGGAUACCUACUCCGAAUGGUCUGAGGCAGCAGCUAACGUAGAAAAAGUCCUGGACGUGUACCAAACAACGGAAGUUUAUUGUUUGUCUGUGCGCGGAAGUGCAUGUUCAUGAUGUGCAACGUAAUAUGAUGUAUGGGAUCAUCUUUUUGUUAAGUACGUCUGGCCCCAACGAGCGUUUAGACUACGUUGGAAUAUCACAAGUGCAAAUGAAACGAAAUUGCAACGCUAUUUCCAGAGAACCAAGCCAUCGUCACUGUCGGGGUCGUGAACGCUUGGAAGAUUCAGUGGGAUCCUAAAGAUGCAGAAAGGGUUCUUGGAGACACGCAGGAAUUAUCGAUGAUACAGCUAAGAUACGUCAACUUUGCCUAAAUAGACCUCUGAUGGAGUGACCGGAAAAUUGUACCAUUACGAUUGAACGCCCAAGUAUCCAGUAAAAGACGAGAAAGUAGUUGAGAUCACGAAGUUGCUGAAUCCGAAGCGUGAACCGGUCGAUAUAUUUGUUGGAAUGGAAAAAGCAUAGCAAGGAAGUUCUUCCUAGUGAGCCAUCCUCAUAUCGACAGAUAUGAUCUGUCCAUCUGGAAGUCUGACCAUCUGGAAGUACCUCGAAAAAGCCGUUCAACCCUAAGAAACUGACAAAUUAGUAUCGCCUUGGAGCGUAUCAGCAAACGAUCCGCAGAGUUCGCUAUUAGGACAACACGACUAAUUCCGGAUGUGUCUAGAUAUACUACGAGCGGACAUCAUCUGUUUCGCAGACCAUUCACUUUGAUUGAAAGAAGUACGGAGCAGGUUGGACAGAAGUUGGAUUGCAACUGAUCUAUUACAAACGUUUUGACUAACGCCAAGCAAUCGUUGUUCUAUAAGCAGUAGAAGAAGAUCGCCUAUAAAGAAAUAAACAACUUCCUGCCUCUAAUGUCCACGUUUACAAAACGAAAGGUUUUAUUUGAAUUGUCACAAUUAAACAAAGUUAUAUUUUCAUUAGCAGUAAUCGGUCCAAAAUGGUUUUAUAAUCAGUUCAAAGGCCUUCGACAAGUUUUAAAUAUACCUUGUAGCAUACCUGUUAUACAGCUUAAUUUCGAUUUAUAAACAGUUUCAACCAGACCAAGGAUUAAGUUAUAUAACAGAGUGCAACGUCAGAAACUGAACUAUCGAUUGGACCUUUAUGGGCUUGAGAUGUCCAACAAACACAAAUAGUCCGAAGUUCUUACUAUUUGUGAAAUAAUAAGAAGAUUUUAAUUUUAUAACCUAGAUUAGAAUGAUUAGUCGUUUUGUUUUUUUGAUGGUAUAUUUGUACCUUAUGCCGUAUCUCAGCUAUUGCAUCAUCUUUUGCUACCUUUUUUGUCUUGUAUCCAGUUUCAUAGAGCCAAAAACUUACUACAUCAUCAUUAAAAGGAUCGCAGAAAAUAAAUCAAACAAAUACUAAUCUUUUUUUAUUUCAAUUACUAGUCUAGUACAGCGAUAUCAAAUCGCCAUGAAAGAAUACCGGAAGGAACGAAUUACCGAUUCCAGUGCAUUUAAAGGUGUUCAAAUUUUUUUUUGGUUUUCUAAUCCGUGAUGUAACUAAGGAAGACCCAGGCCACUCAAUUUCUUAGUCGCAGGAAGAAUAAUUUCAUUGACUUACGUUACGUCUUGGUAAGGUUGUGUAUUUGGUGUGUGUAUGCAGUCACAUAUAGACCAAUUAAUCGAGCAUAAAAGUGGAAAUGAUUCCAGUAUUACGCACUGCGAAAUAUACAUCCAUUGCAAAUAUGUUGAGGGUGGAUUGUGCUACCAGUUUAAAUUGUAGUUUGUAUUCCCCUGCUGGAAUGUUCUUCGGCGCGUGCCGAUCUUGAAGGCACCAAGAGAUAUUGUAGGUACGAUUCUGCAACAAGGAAGCACGAGUUACAAAUGAAAUACAAACACAGGAUUUCAUUCUUUUACAUUACUUACGCCUGCUGGACAAGGGACUAACAACUCUGGAACUGUAUCUUCCAUUAUGUCAUACACAUGCUUUUGUAUCCCCCAUUCUGGCGGAUGUCGGAUUAAUUCACAAGCUUUUCCUUCCGUAGUAAUUAGGAAAGGUUGAUAAGUGCUAAAUUUAUAGAAGAGAUGAACUUUUACUACAAUGUCGUUGUAUAGGUUUGGAACAUGUAUGGAAACAGAAAUCAUCGUGGGUGCGUUUCUUCGCGGAAUACUUUUACAGUAGUGAAGCGUCGAUUCCUUGUACGGCGUAUCGAUGCAAACAUAUUUUGUAACUUUCAAAGAGUACGAAGAAUCACUAUUGCAGGUACACGGUAUAUCAUUUAGAAGAAAAGUUAAAAUAACACUAAUCACUAAAUGUCCCAUUAGCAUGUGGAGGAACUCGAAUGUUCGCAUUUCACUGGAUGUGUUGUACUGCUUAGAGCGUUGUUAAUUUUGUAUUAUAAGAAUUAUCAAGUAUUGUAUUUUGACUCUUAUGGCGUUGUUAAUCGUUUUCAAUUAUCUGACAAUUAAGCAAUGUGAUCUUUUCAUUAGAUUUGAGAACGAAUAAUGAAUUCCACUGGUCUAUGACAUUAUAGAAAAGAGUAGUACCACAAAUGCCCAUUAUAUUUGAGUUGGAAUAUGAGCUCGCAAUGGCUAUCCGACUAUUUAGCAAAAAUAAGUUCAGUAGGUCAGAAAUGGCUGCCAUGACCUUAGAGGUCGUUAAGAAAAGGCAAGAGAAGAAGACUCUAUAGAGACAAGAUAGAGUUUGACAUCCCGGCGAGAUACAGUCACGGCAUUGUAGUGUCACUAAGAAGGAAAAAAUACGAAUCAAAGUAACGUUUUUUUUUUAUGUCACUGUUAAAACCAGUGAUGUCAAACUCAUUUUUACUAGCGGGCCAGUUUGCAAACAAAAAUUAUCUUGCUGGCCAAUAUAGGUCGGAAAGGGAAGGAGAAGUCGGAAGGAAAUAAAAUACAACAGUACUUUGAACUUCAAGAAGGACUCUCGAGCGUGUUACUUAAAUGUAAAAGAGUACACACACAACAUAUAUAAAUUAUUCCUCAAUUUUCCAAGCUAAACCUCACCCAACCCAGAUAAUAAUCGAUGUUCUCGUUCUUCCUUCGCGGGCCGAAUUCAAAGACCUCGCGGGCCGGAUCCGGACAGCGGGCCGUAUAUUAGACAUGUCUGGUUUAAACCCUGACGUCAAGAAAGCAAAAAGUGUACCUACGUAUAUAUCUACGAAGACUGCAAUAUUUAAACUUUUGAAUAAGGCUUAUGGCGCUAGUAAGCCUAAACCUAAUUCGAGUAUUUGUAUCCUUGAAUAUGACUGAGGAGUUGGGCGCUUCUCAUAGAUGUUAGUACUCUACACAAAAAUUUAUUAAAUUCUUUUGAAGUUUGAUUCUAGAUUAUUAUAUUUUUUCUUUAAUGCAAUUUCCGAAACAUGCAUUAUUGUGUCAUAAAUGCAGAAACGAUUCCAGUAUUACGCACUGCACCAUAAACAUCCAUUCCAAAUAAGGUAAUGCUUGGUUGCACUAUCAGUUUAAAAUGCAGUUUAUAAUCUCCUGCUGGAAUGUUCCUAGGCGCGUACUUAUCGUGAAGGUACCAAGUAACGUUGUAGGUACGAUUCUGCAACACGGAAACCGAAGUUAGGAAUGAAAUACAAACACAGCAUAUCAUAAUUUUUAUAUUACUCACGCCUGCUGGACAAGGUAGUAGCAACACUGGAACAGAAUCUUCCAUUAUAUCAUACACAAGCUUUUGUAUGCCAAAUUGUGGUGGAUGCCGGACGAACUCACAACCCUGUGUUUCCAUGCUAACCAGGAAAGGUUGAUAAGUGCUAAAUUUAUAGAACAGCUGAACUUUCACUACAAUGUCGUUGUAAAGUUUUGGAACAUCUAUAGCCAUAGAAAUCAUCGUGGGUGCGUUUCUUCGCGGGAUAGUUUUACAGUAGUGAAGCGUCGAUUCCUUGUAUGGCGUAUCGAUGCAAACAUAUUUUAUAAUUUUUAUAGAGAAUGAAGAAGCACCGUUAGAGCUAGUUCGUAUAUCUUUUAAUAGUAAAAUGAAAACAACACUCAACAUUAAAAACACUCUAACUCUACAGAGAAAUGCGAUCAGUCCCAUUGUGCAGGAUAGAAUAAACUGAUUGCAGCUAUGUUUUGCAGCAUAUGAUCGCUAAUCGUUCGUAACGAAAUGAUCGUAAUUUACGUUACGGCAAUUAAACAACAAGCAGUUUUCAUUAGUUCCAUUGGAAAAUAUUUGCAAAGGGUAUUGUGAAUAGGAUUUAAACAUUCGCUUCAUUAAAUUCAGGAAAAAUUCGAUGAGUGCGAGUGUUCAUUAUUUGUGUUUGGUUAGUGGAUUCCAGUGGAACGUUGAGAGCACUUUCCUGUUGUUCCUCGUCUUUUUCUCUAGACUUUCUGCAGGAAUGACAAGAUGAUAUAAAAACCAGAUUCGCUUUAUCUAGAGGACACAUCACGCGUCACAAUGUAAAAUUUCAUCGUUCCGGAGUGAAGUCUUGAGAGCGAACAUAAGAAAAAAAAAUUGAAAAUUUUAUGGUACAUUCGGUAUUUGCUCUUGAUGCCAUUUGAAUACUUGGUUCGAAGUUCAAGUUACAAUUUUGUUGUAUUAUAUUUCCAAUUAAUUCCGGAAAUUAUUCCAGUAUUACGCACUACGACAUAUACAUCCAUUCCAAAUAAGAUGACGUUGCGUGGUGCUACCAGUUUAAAUUGUAGUUUAUAUUCACCUCCUGGAAUGUUCCUAGGCGCGUAUUUUUCUUGAAAGUACCAAGUAGCGUUGUAGGUACGAUUCUGUUAGCGUUGUAGGAAAUAAAAGUUAGAACUUGAAGGACAAUCACAGCAUUUCAUUUUUUUAUAUUACUUACGCCUGCUGGACAAGGAUCUAACAACUGUGGAAGAGAUUCGUUCAUUAUAUCAUACACGUACUUUUCUAUGCCAAAUUUUGGCGGAUGCCGGACGAACUCACAGCCCUGUGUUUCCAUGGUUAUCAGGAAAGGUUGAUAAGUGCUAAAUUUAUAGAACAGCUGAACUUUUACUACAAUGUCGUUAUAUCGGUUUGGAACAGUCGUAGACACGGAAAUUAACGUGGGUGCGUUUCUUCGCGGGAUACUUUUACAGUAGUGAAGCGUCGAUUCCUUGUACGGCGUAUCGAUGCAAACAUAUUUUGUAACUUUCAAAGAGUACGAAGAAUCGCUA
Molecule: long non-coding RNA, 7340 nt
Organism: Anopheles funestus (African malaria mosquito)
Lineage: Eukaryota; Metazoa; Arthropoda; Insecta; Diptera; Culicidae
Exons: 2
Source: RefSeq, a predicted model, not a curated record